RNAcentral lists this ribosomal RNA (468 nucleotides) under uncultured bacterium. RNAcentral describes it as "partial 16S ribosomal RNA". It matches the Rfam family "Bacterial small subunit ribosomal RNA", at positions 28 to 507 of the family's 1533-position model. The record is from RNAcentral.
GACGAACGCUGGCGGCGUGCUUAACACAUGCAAGUCGAACGGAAAGGCCCUGCUUUUGUGGUGCGCUCGAGUGGAGAACGGGUGUGUAACACGUGAGUAACCUGCCCUUGACUUUGGGAUAACUUCAGGAAACUGGGGCUAAUACCGGAUAGGAGCUCAUGCUGCCUGGUGGGGGUGGGAACGUUUCGGCGGUUGGGGAUGGACUCGCGGCUUAUCAGCUUGUUGGUGGGGUAGUGGCUUACCAAGGCUUUGACGGGUAGCCGGCCUGAGAGGGUGACCGGCCACACUGGGACUGAGAUACGGCCCAGACUCCUACGGGAGGCAGCAGUGGGGAAUAUUGCACAAUGGGCGGAAGCCUGAUGCAGCGACGCCGCGUGCGGGAUGACGGCCCUCGGGUUGUAAACCGCUUUCGCCUGUGACGAAGCGUGAGUGACGGUAAUGGGUGAAGAAGCACCGGCUAACUACGUG